GACGAACGCUGGCGGCGUGCCUAAUACAUGCAAGUAGAACGCUGAAGGAGGAGCUUGCUUCUCUGGAUGAGUUGCGAACGGGUGAGUGACGCGUAGGUAACCUGCCUGGUAGCGGGGGAUAACUAUUGGAAACGAUAGCUAAUACCGCAUAAUAGCAGUUAUUGCAUGAUAACUGUUUGAAAGGUGCAAUUGCACCACUACCAGAUGGACCUGCGUUGUAUUAGCUAGUUGGUGGGGUAACGGCUCACCAAGGCGACGAUACAUAGCCGACCUGAGAGGGUGAUCGGCCACACUGGGACUGAGACACGGCCCAGACUCCUACGGGAGGCAGCAGUAGGGAAUCUUCGGCAAUGGACGGAAGUCUGACCGAGCAACGCCGCGUGAGUGAAGAAGGUUUUCGGAUCGUAAAGCUCUGUUGUAAGAGAAGAACGAGUGUGAGAGUGGAAAGUUCACACUGUGACGGUAGCUUACCAGAAAGGGACGGCUAACUACGUG
This 495-nucleotide ribosomal RNA is filed under the name uncultured bacterium. Its description in RNAcentral is "partial 16S ribosomal RNA". It matches the Rfam family "Bacterial small subunit ribosomal RNA", at positions 28 to 507 of the family's 1533-position model. The record is from RNAcentral.